CCUACGGGAGGCAGCAGUGAGGAAUAUUGGUCAAUGGACGCAAGUCUGAACCAGCCAUGCCGCGUGCAGGAUGACGGCUCUAUGAGUUGUAAACUGCUUUUGUACGAGGGUAAACCCCGAUACGUGUAUCGGGUUGAAAGUAUCGUACGAAUAAGGAUCGGCUAACUCCGUGCCAGCAGCCGCGGUAAUACGGAGGAUUCGAGCGUUAUCCGGAUUUAUUGGGUUUAAGGGGUGCGUAGGCGGUUUGAUAAGUUAGAGGUGAAAUGUCGGGGCUCAACCCCGGAACUGCCUCUAAUACUGUCGGACUAGAGAUUAGUUGCGGUAGGCGGAAUGUAUGGUGUAGCGGUGAAAUGCUUAGAGAUCAUACAGAACACCGAUUGCGAAGGCAGCUUACCAAACUAUAUCUGACGUUGAGGCACGAAAGCGUGGGUAGCAAACAGGAUUAGAUACCCCUGUAGUC
RNAcentral lists this ribosomal RNA (460 nucleotides) under uncultured bacterium. RNAcentral describes it as "partial 16S ribosomal RNA". It matches the Rfam family "Bacterial small subunit ribosomal RNA", at positions 338 to 795 of the family's 1533-position model. The record is from RNAcentral.